This 468-nucleotide ribosomal RNA is filed under the name uncultured bacterium. Its description in RNAcentral is "bacterial SSU rRNA". It matches the Rfam family "Bacterial small subunit ribosomal RNA", at positions 30 to 507 of the family's 1533-position model. The record is from RNAcentral.
AGUGAACGCUGGCGGCAGGCCUAAUACAUGCAAGUCGAACGGCAGCACGGCAGAGCUUGCUCUGUGGGUGGCGAGUGGCGGACGGGUGAGGAAUACAUGGGAAUCUGCCCAGUCGUGGGGGAUAACGUAGGGAAACUUACGCUAAUACCGCAUGCGCCCUUCGGGGGAAAGCCGGGGACCUUCGGGCCUGGCGCGAUUGGAUGAGCCCAUGUCGGAUUAGCUAGUUGGCGGGGUAAUGGCCCACCAAGGCGACGAUCCGUAGCUGGUCUGAGAGGAUGAUCAGCCACACUGGAAUUGAGAUACGGUCCAGACUCCUACGGGAGGCAGCAGUGGGGAAUCUUGGGCAAUGGGCGAAAGCCUGACCCAGCGACGCCGCGUUGGGGAUGAAGCCCUUCGGGGCGUAAACCCAUGUUGUAGGGGACGAAGAAAGUGACGGUACCCUACGAGAAAGCCCCGGCCAACUACGUG